GAUGAAGAACGUAGCGAAAUGCGAUACUUGGUGUGAAUUGCAGAAUCCCGUGAACCAUCGAGUCUUUGAACGCAAGUUGCGCCUCAAGCCAUUAGGUUGAGGGCACGUCUGCCUGGGCGUCACAUAUCGUUGCCUGAUGCCAGUUUCCUCGUGAUGGGUGACUGUGCAGGGCGAAUGAUGGCUUCCCGUGAGCAUUGUUGCCUCAUGGUUGUUGAAAAUUGAGUCCUUGGUAGGGAGCGCCGUGAUAGAUGGUGGUUGAGUGACGAACGAGACCCAAUCAUGUGAGACCCCUACCGAAUUUGGCCUUCAUGACCCACAUGCGUCUUUGGAACGCUCAUGACGAGACCUCAGGUCAGGCGGGGCUACCCGCUGAGUUUAAGCAUAUCAAUAAGCGGAGGA
Molecule: unclassified non-coding RNA, 399 nt
Filed under: soil metagenome
Description: partial contains 5.8S ribosomal RNA, internal transcribed spacer 2, and large subunit ribosomal RNA
Rfam family: 5.8S ribosomal RNA (bases 1-122)
Source: RNAcentral